UUAAGUUCAGCGGGUAUUCCUACCUGAUCCGAGGUCAACGUUCAGAAAGUCGGGGGUUUUACGGCGUGGCCGCGCCGCGCUCCAGUGCGAGUUGAUAACUACUGCGCAGGGGAGGCUGCGGCGGGACCGCCACUGUAUUUGGGGGGCCGGGAUCCCGUCUUAGGGGUUCCCGAUCCCCAACGCCGGACCCCCGGAGGGGU
Molecule: unclassified non-coding RNA, 200 nt
Filed under: Stachybotrys sp.
Lineage: Eukaryota; Fungi; Ascomycota; Sordariomycetes; Hypocreales; Stachybotryaceae
Description: partial internal transcribed spacer 2
Source: RNAcentral